Cynocephalus volans (Philippine flying lemur) is the source of this 416-nucleotide long non-coding RNA. RefSeq lists it as uncharacterized. The transcript has 3 exons. NCBI's taxonomy places the organism in Eukaryota, Metazoa, Chordata, Mammalia, Dermoptera, Cynocephalidae. The record is from RefSeq and is a predicted model, not a curated record.
GACAGCAUGUCUGAAAUGCUGUAGGUGGGGAUACAGUUCUGGGACAUAGGAGACCCUUGGCAAAUUUUUAUAACUUGGUAGGUUGGUAUCAAGAUCAGGAUGUACAGAAGACUGACCAGUGAGGACUUGCUGUUGCUACACUUUAGAAAUUAAGAAUUGGACUAGGGAGAAGAAGUUCAUGAAGGUCAUACUGCUCAUGACCAGUAGAGCUGUCUGACUCCAGAUCCAUCCUGAUGACAAUCACGCUGCUGAUGUUGGAAAAUGUCAUGAGGGCUGCUUCAACAUUCUGGAACAAAAGGCACUAUAUAUAAGCAUUAUUAUGAGACUCAAAGGGGCUCCGAGCAAAAUGAAAUCUUGUUAUUACAAGAGAAUUGGAGAGACUUUUUGCUAAAUAUAGUUACUCUGUGGAAAAUGCA